Non-coding RNA from Lepisosteus oculatus (spotted gar), 894 nucleotides. Lineage: Eukaryota; Metazoa; Chordata; Actinopteri; Semionotiformes; Lepisosteidae. The record is from RefSeq and is a predicted model, not a curated record.
GAAGUGAAAGUGAAAGUAGUCUAUUACUGCGAUAAAGAGCAAGCUGAUUUUCAAAUCUAAUCAUAAAAAGGCCUCAGAGAAUCACAUAUUUCUUUCUGAACAAUAGAAAGUGGAGCUCAGACUGGUAUGAUCAGAGUAUCCAGCCUAACAACAUCUCUGAACACUACAAAGACAAAAAACUUCGCUCUGAAUCUGGAUUGUAAUUAAUACUGUAAACAUACUGUUAAUAUAAAAACAGAGAUGGAGUCUGACCAGUCACAGUGGCUCUUUUUGACUCUGCUGUUUCUCCACCAGUCCUGUGUCUCAGGAUCAGUGAGGUUUGAGGUUCAUGGUCCAGCUGCUCCAGUAGUUGUGUCCCCUGGUGAAGACGCUGUCCUGCCCUGUUACCUCUCACCAGAGAUCAGUGCUGAGGACCUAGAGAUCAGGUGGUUUAAAAAGAAUUACCAUGACCUUAUUUGUUUGUAUGAAUCAGGCCAGUAUAACCUUGUAAGACAGAACCCAGCCUACAGGGACAGGGCUGGUCUAUUCCUGCAGGAGCUCCACAGAGGCAAUGUGUCUUUAACACUGAGAGAUGUGAGACGAUCUGACCAUGGACAGUACACGUGCUUGGUGGGGUCUAAGCUGAUGGAGGAUGAAGCUGUUAUUAACCUGGGUGUGAGAGGUGAGUGUCUUUCUCUCAGAGUUACAUCUGUGGUGAGUUAUUGAUCACUGCAAUGUACAAUAAAACUAAACAACUACACAGGAAUGAUGAGUGAUAGUACAUAAUGACUUAAGAGAAGAUUAUCGAUGUACUGGGCAUGGUGUUUUCCCAAAUAUAAUUUGAUCUUGACUUUGAAAUGGCAUAUUUACAGUAUGUUAAAUAUAAAUGUUUUCACGAUCGUUACUCCUCCUCUU